This 335-nucleotide ribosomal RNA is filed under the name uncultured bacterium. Its description in RNAcentral is "bacterial SSU rRNA". It matches the Rfam family "Bacterial small subunit ribosomal RNA", at positions 568 to 899 of the family's 1533-position model. The record is from RNAcentral.
CGUGUAGGCGGGCAGACAAGUCAGACGUGAAAUUUUUCCGCUUAACGGAGAAACCGCGUUUGAAACUAUCUGUCUUGAGUACGGGAGAGGAAAGUGGAAUUCCUGGUGUAGCGGUGAAAUGCGUAGAUAUCAGGAGGAACACCUGUGGCGAAGGCGGCUUUCUAGCCCGAUACUGACGCUGUGGCGCGAAGGCUAGGGGGAGCAAACAGAAUUAGAUACUCUGGUAGUCCUAGCGGUAAACGUUGGGCACUAGGUGUUGGUUCCUUAAAGGAUCAGUGCCGAAGCUAACGCAUUAAGUGCCCCCGCCUGGGGGAGUACGGGCCGCAAGGUUGAAA